CCUGUGCUCUAAGCAUGGAACAAGUCUUCCUAUUGGAAUACACAUCUCUGUCUGGGAGGCUCUGGAAUAUAACCCCAUGAAAUGCAAGGACUGUGUCUCUUUCACCAUUGUAACCAGAACACCUGAAAGUGUGAUUUCCAAGUUCACAACACAGUGAUGCAACAAUUACGUACAUUACACAGUGUUCACACAGGGAGUGUAGUUACCAUCUGUCACCAGGAAAUACUUGGGAACACACAAAGAAAAAGCAGACAUUCAGCUUGAUUUACUCAGGUGGAGGGGAGACACCAAGAACGUGCCAGACACAUUUCGUUCAGCGGCAAGCUGAUCACCUCUUCACCGCUAACACCCCUCGGUGAAGAACAACCAGAAGAAUUUUCAAUUUAAAAAUAAAUCCAAACAUUUGUCUUCAUAUUAUCAAUGCUGUGGUAUAUUCUGAACAUAUUGAGAAAUGGAAGAGCAUGCAUUUGUGUCUGCUUCUUUCGAUUUCUGUAGUGUCAUAUAAUGUUCUAAUAUUCAGUGUUCAUCGAAGUGUUUUAGAUAUGAUACUGUUUCUUGAGGGAAGUGGGGAUACUUUAUACAAGCACGCAGAACAAAAAAUGUACUUACCUCGCCUCCCUCUGUGAGGUGCAGUGCCUGCCAGAAGGACAGCGGAACAAGAGAUUUGAGGAUAUUGGAUUUCUUUUGCUCAAAACCAACUCCUUAUUUUGUAUU
Long non-coding RNA from Leopardus geoffroyi (Geoffroy's cat), 714 nucleotides. RefSeq lists it as uncharacterized. The transcript has 4 exons. The record is from RefSeq and is a predicted model, not a curated record. Lineage: Eukaryota; Metazoa; Chordata; Mammalia; Carnivora; Felidae.